GGAGCAGGUGAGCAACCACGGUGCCAAAUCCUUGACAAUACCCGACGUCCGGGUAAAGCCACGCGAUUGAGCGGAGGACCCGACGAAGACGUGGGAUUCCGGGAGAAUCGGAUUUACAGAAGCACCCGUUUCCUGGUCGGAGCGAGUGCGGAAUGCCGGCAUGGGUGGUCAUCAUCUCCCAAAGUUUUUCCGUGAGCGGUAACUUUUCUGGGAUUGAGUCCCACGACAAUUCGUGGACUUCUUCCCGACUGUGAGAAAAUUCCAGUUUUCUAUUCAUAAGCGGAUGGAUAUGAAUUUAUAUUCAACUUUUUCAUUUGAUGACGACAAAAAGUCCAGAGGAUUCAUUUAAUAAAUACACAUUUUGCGAGAA
Long non-coding RNA from Folsomia candida, 370 nucleotides. RefSeq lists it as uncharacterized. The record is from RefSeq and is a predicted model, not a curated record. Lineage: Eukaryota; Metazoa; Arthropoda; Collembola; Entomobryomorpha; Isotomidae. The transcript has 3 exons.